GCAAGUCGAGGGGCAGCGGGAUUGAAGCUUGCUUCAAUUGCCGGCGACCGGAGCACGGGUGAGUAAAGCGUAUCCAACCUUUCGUUUACUCGGGGAUAGCCUUUCGAAAGAAAGAUUAAUACCCGAUGGUAUCUUACAGACACAUGUAUGUAAGAUUAAAGAUGUAUCGGUAAACGAUGGGUAUGCGUUCCAUUAGAUAGUAGGCGGGGUAACGGCCCACCUAGUCUACGAUGGAUAGGGGUUCUGAGAGGAAGGUC
This 257-nucleotide ribosomal RNA is filed under the name uncultured bacterium. RNAcentral describes it as "partial 16S ribosomal RNA". It matches the Rfam family "Bacterial small subunit ribosomal RNA", at positions 57 to 305 of the family's 1533-position model. The record is from RNAcentral.